GAUGAAGAACGUAGCAAAAUGCGAUAAGUAAUGUGAAUUGCAGAAUUCAGUGAAUCAUCGAAUCUUUGAACGCACAUUGCGCCCGCCAGUAUUCUGGCGGGCAUGCCUGUUCGAGCGUCAUUUCAACCCUCAAGCCCUCGGGUUUGGUGUUGGGGAUCGGCGAGCCUUUCUGGCAAGCCGGCCCCGAAAUCUAGUGGCGGUCUCGCUGCAGCCUCCAUUGCGUAGUAGUAAAACCCUCGCAACUGGAACGCGGCGCGGCCAAGCCGUUAAACCACCAACUUCUGAAUGUUGACCUCGGAUCAGGUAGGAAUACCCGCUGAACUUAAGCAUAUCAAUAAGCGGAGGA
This 346-nucleotide unclassified non-coding RNA is filed under the name soil metagenome. Its description in RNAcentral is "partial contains 5.8S ribosomal RNA, internal transcribed spacer 2, and large subunit ribosomal RNA". The stretch from base 1 to 120 matches the Rfam family "5.8S ribosomal RNA", at positions 35 to 154 of the family's 154-position model. The record is from RNAcentral.